This 415-nucleotide RNase P RNA is filed under the name Terriglobia bacterium. RNAcentral describes it as "RNase P RNA component class A". It matches the Rfam family "Bacterial RNase P class A". From Rfam's summary of the family: Ribonuclease P (RNase P) is a ubiquitous endoribonuclease, found in archaea, bacteria and eukarya as well as chloroplasts and mitochondria. The record is from RNAcentral. Lineage: Bacteria; Pseudomonadati; Acidobacteriota; Terriglobia.
CCGCUGGAUCGGGUGAUCGCUGCCGUCCCGUUUACGCUGGUUCUGCCAGGCCGCACGGAAGCGGGAGAGGAAAGUCCGAACUCCGCAGAGCAGUGUGCCGGAUAACGUCCGGGCGGUUGCCGUCAAGGGCAACUGACGGAAAGUGCCACAGAGAAUAUACCGCCUCGUUUCGACGAGGUAAGGGUGAAAAGGUGCGGUAAGAGCGCACCGCCCGGGCAGUAAUGUCCGGGGCAUGGCAAACCCCACACGGAGCAAGACCAAAUAGGGAGGAAGCGCCUUCGGGUGCACGCGCCGGCUCGGCACGUCAAACCUUCGGGUAGGUCGCUGGAGCCAGCCAGUAAUGGCUGGCCAAGAGGAAUGAUCGCCCCACGGCGCAAGCCGCGGACAGAAUUCGGCUUAUAGAUCCGGCUGCUAU